UUGGAGGGCAAGUCUGGUGCCAGCAGCCGCGGUAAUUCCAGCUCCAAUAGCGUAUAUUAAAGUUGUUGCAGUUAAAAAGCUCGUAGUUGAAUUUCGGGAUUGACACAUCGGUCGUGCCUUAAGGGGUAUGAACUGGUGUAGUCAAUUUCUCACCUUCUGGAGAACCACGAUGCCCUUAAUUGGGUGUCGCGGGGAACCAGGACCUUUACUUUGAAAAAAUUAGAGUGUUUAAAGCAGGCAUUUUGCUUGAAUACAUUAGCAUGGAAUAAUAAAAUAGGACGGCAUGAUUCUAUUUUGUUGGUUUCUAGGAUCACCGUAAUGAUUAAUAGGGAUAGUUGGGGGCAUCAGUAUUCAAUUGUCAGAGGUGAAAUUCUUGGAUUUAUUGAAGACUAACUACUGCGAAAGCAUUUGCCAAGGAUGUUUUCAUUAAUCAAGAACGAAAGUUAGGGGAUCGAAGACGAUCAGAUACCGUCGUAGUCUUAACCAUAAACUAUGCCGACUAGGAAUCAGACGAUGUUAAUUUUUUAAUGACUCGUUUGGCACCUUACGGGAAACCAAAGUGUUUGGGUUC
Molecule: ribosomal RNA, 571 nt
Filed under: uncultured Glomeromycotina
Lineage: Eukaryota; Fungi; Glomeromycota
Description: SSU rRNA
Rfam family: Eukaryotic small subunit ribosomal RNA
Source: RNAcentral